Molecule: transfer RNA, 73 nt
Filed under: Ailuropoda melanoleuca (giant panda)
Lineage: Eukaryota; Metazoa; Chordata; Mammalia; Carnivora; Ursidae
Rfam family: tRNA
About the family: Transfer RNA (tRNA) molecules are approximately 80 nucleotides in length.
Source: Rfam by way of RNAcentral
ACCUAGCUGGCUCAGUCAGUAGAGCAUGUGACUUUUGAUCUCGGAGCUAUGAGUUCAAGCCUCACGUUGUGUA